GCCUGGGUGGCUCAGUCGGUUAAGCAUCUGACUUCAGCUCAGGUCAUGAUCUCGCGGUCUGUGAGUUCGAGCCCCGCGUCAGGCU
This 85-nucleotide transfer RNA is filed under the name Felis catus (domestic cat). It matches the Rfam family "tRNA". From Rfam's summary of the family: Transfer RNA (tRNA) molecules are approximately 80 nucleotides in length. Their secondary structure includes four short double-helical elements and three loops (D, anti-codon, and T loops). RNAcentral also lists the same sequence under 1 other name. Lineage: Eukaryota; Metazoa; Chordata; Mammalia; Carnivora; Felidae. The record is from Rfam by way of RNAcentral.